RNAcentral lists this ribosomal RNA (4252 nucleotides) under Triticum aestivum (bread wheat). Its description in RNAcentral is "partial small subunit ribosomal RNA". Lineage: Eukaryota; Viridiplantae; Streptophyta; Magnoliopsida; Poales; Poaceae. The record is from RNAcentral.
GGAAGACAAAAAGAGCAAGAGGGAGGAAGUUGCCUCGAGCCCCACCCCUUCCUUAUCCUUUCCUCCAAAAUUUCACAUCGCACGCAACCUUCUCUCGUGCCGCCGCCGCCGCCGCCGCCGCCUCUUCUCUCCCCCGAUUCUCCUCGCGACUGCUCCGAGCCCCUCCUCUUCCCUGUGUCGGCUGCUCGACGCGCCACCGCUGCGGGAGAAGGUGAACACGAGGAGAUGCAGGGUGGGUGGCCUCGCCGGAAGAGGGUGACGCCGGGAACCACCGGCUGGCCAAGGACCGUGUGGGCUGGCACUUCCCCGCGGCGCCCUCCUUCCCCGACUUCGCCGUCGCCACUGCCCCCUCCCCUCCUGUCAAGGCUGAGCGUGCACAGAGUGGACGAGUCGAUCGCGGCGGAACCAGAGUCACUCGAGGCCGGGGUGCGAGAUGAUGUCCAGCAGGCGGAGGGGUGGCCAUGGGAGGAGUAGCCCACAAUGAAAUCCAUUUUCUCUUUGUGUGUGUGUGUGUGUGUUGGAUUUGGAUCGAGGAAGGGGAUGGCGUGGGGAUGAGGCGGUGGACAGAGGAAGAGGGCGAUGCUGGCUGGCUGAGCGGGCGGAUCUGGUAGAGCGGCCAGAGGAGCAGGCCAACAUAACACCAACGUGGUGAGCUUCCCCUCUCCACCAUCUACCCCCAGAUCUGAACAUCAACUACAAUUUGUACGUUUUGGUUAUACUCUAUUUCAGUUUAUACAAAUCUCGUUUUGGUUAAACUUCUGUCUUCGAUGCCAUGGCUGAAACUAGAGCAAACACAUAAAACCUACAGAGAAAGGAUUACACACUUUUAUCAGGUGUUAAGUUCAGCUGCCUUGACCAUGGCAGUGCUAAGUAAAUUUAUAAUUGGAUUCUGCUGAUCUGUGGAUAGGUAGCCUAACCGGUGAUGGGUAGCCUCACCCUGUUAAAUCUGAUCGGGUAAUGUGAGAACCAAAAUGAAUUUAUUUUGCUCCGUUUCUUACAAGCACUUGUCUUAAGUAGAUGCCACAAGCUCAUCUUCAAUGAUGGAUUUUAUUAUGUCGUGCCUAUUAAGCAGCCAAAGAUCAGAUAUUUGACCCCAUCACUAAUAGUAAGAUGCACACAAAGAAUAUCUGCACCCAGUCAUUCUCAUUCACUGAAGCUUGGUUCUUUGUUAUAUGAAUCAGUUAGAUUUCUACAAAAGCGAUUCUUGUUGCUAGGUGCAUCAUCGUCAAGGAUGUGUUUUCCCCACUUGGGAGCAACAUCUAGAAUAUAUUUUCCUAUGAACGCGCGAGAUUGCCUAUGUGCUGUUAGAUUUGAUCUUCAGAAUAUUUGCAAGUGAUGUCUUUCUGCACUGUAUUCCGUUCAAUAGAAUAGCACUGCACCCCUAAUUCAAGAAUGCAAUUUUAGAGUUAUACUAAGGACAGUACUUGUGCAAGGCGAAUUGAAAUCGAAAUUUCGCAUGUACACCUGCAAAAAGGAGAUGACCUGCAUGAGUGCAAAGGCUAAGGCGAGGUAUGUGCAAUCUUGAUGUACCACCAUGUAAAAAAACUGGAGUAUGUGCAUAAUUUUUCCUAUGGAACUAUUAUGGAAACCAGAUGCUUAUUCUUGAAAUGGUUGCUCAUAUCAAAGAAGAGGUCUCCUUUGGCGCCAUUUUGGAGUUCUUAUCCAAGUUCUGUUCUAAUUAUUACUAGAUGAUGUUGUGUUGAUGCUGUUCUUCACAGUUGAUGGCAAUAUGACGUUGACAAGUGUAGUGGUUCGGUUUGGAGAAAGAGAGAAUAAAGUAUCCCUAUACAUCAGUACAUUUGGCUACUAAUGUAAGAAUACAAAAAGUCGUUUCAGUAGCUUUCACAGGUUCAUCAAGGAGUUGGCUGUUCAAGCUGAAUCCCUCCACACCCAAAUGAUAAAAGCUUGUUUUUUUAAUGAACAAGCUAAUUUAGGAAACGUUGCUAAUCCAGGCUAAGAAAUGAGUUCUCAGAUGAGGUGUCAUGUGCCAGCAGUAAUUUUUUUAUGAGUCUACCCAAGUGUCAGAGUAACUAUCUUGCUUUUAGUUGUGAUUCUGAUUAUUUACAUUUAAGAGCUCAUUUCUUAUGACUUCUUGUGUGUAUCAUGAUAGAUUGUAUACAACUGAUCGUAGCUCAUUUUAUUAUUCGGAGACUUUCAACUAAUUACCAUAUGCUAAUAAUUCUCUUUUCUUUUUUCUUUCCUUUCCAUUUGCCAAUUACAUAGGUUCAUUAGAAAUCCAACUGUCAAUGAGAACGCCAUGAACCUCAUUUUUGGUUCAAUAAAUCGUUCAAUUUCUUUUAUUUAAUUUGCAUGUGGAAACAACAUAUGCUAAUUUUCCAUUUAUGUUUCAACAUACACAUGCGCACACAUUUGUACUGAUUAAUUGUUCGCGAAACGAUCUGCCGACAUACUCACAUGAUACUUUUAGUGCUGUUGUCUUAUUAUUUCCCUUUUACUCCGCUCUCUGUUUUUCCAUCUUGCUUCACUUUCGAUCAAUCGUCACAGCAAUUGCUUCUUACCAAUUAUUAUAAUUUUUUUUCUCAAAUGCACAGCGCAAGGAAGAUGAGCUUCCUUGUAUUUCUCGCUUGCAUGGAUUCUAUUUAUUGGAAUUAUUUGCCGUAAAAAAUGCCUUGGUCAUACAUCUAAGUACGACUAUGCUUUUAUGUACUCCCUCCGUUCCAAAAUAGAUGACCCAAUUUUAUACUAACUUUGUACUAAAGUUAGUACAAAGUUGGGUCAGCUAUUUCGGAACGGAGGGAGUAGUUGUGUGAGUGUGUGACAACAUCUCAAUAUCAAAGUUUUAGUAUCAAGGAUAAAAAACUUUGUGGAUGUACUAUUAGGAAGAGCAGUGAUUACAGCCAGUAUAGUUUGGAUAAAUGUAGGCAGUAAAACUGGAAAUUGGGCCUGCAAAAACUAAACAUAGGCAUUUUUUCAACCACUUUUUAAGUGGGCACGAUGAUCUUUGCCAAGUAUGAUAGCCAAACAAGUUGCUAAUUGCCAAGUGCUAACCAAUUUAUCUACCACCAUUGUUACCUGACGCGUUAUGCAAGGGUGGUUAGCUUGUACCUGUCAGCUUCUGCUCCCUAACAUGGAUUCUAGUUAAUGGAUCACUAUGCUUUUGAAGUGCUUAUGCACCACAUCUCAAUAUCUAAGCUUUAGCAAUAAAACCAAAUAACUACAGAAACAAUAAAAUUCUAACAGGGAAUAUAGAUGAGUGCUGCAAUGUCAAGUGUAGAACAACAGAUUCACAAGCAUGGUGCUUACCACGCUUGCACUGGUGCUUGACCAUGGUGACGGCGCCGCUAUGCCUCCAGUCCAGCGCGUCGGGCACGGCGUCGGGACAGGAAUGUGCCUUGCUUCACUUUCCGUGAAGUCACUCCUUUGUACUUGUAUUGUUUCGUUUUACUCAAGUGCCUUGAUACAAGAUACUUAAAGUAUUUCUCGAUUUUACCUCAUUCCUUAUUACUAACCCACAACCGUACUUCCGGUUAAUGUGGUCUGGACUGUCAUUCAGGUGCCAUGGAAGGACUAAACAAGAUCGCGACGGGCUCUCUUCUCAGCCUUCCUGAGUAGAAACUAAUCGGUUGUGACAGAUCCCACAAUGCUGGUUGUGGCGGGUAGGCUCAUGAACUAUGCUUAUAAGUUUGUGAUUAAUAAUGGUGGGAGUGACAGGAAGGAUGACUACCCGUUUGGUGAAUCAGAUGAAGCAUGCAACAAAAACAAACUGAAAAAGCAUGUGAUAACAAUUGAUGGCUACUGAAGCGACGUCCUGCUGGUGUACAUCAGGGACGCCUGCACCAACGAUGACGCCUUCAAGGUGCCGUGGAAGUGAAGUCAGGGCAUGGGGAUCCGGGCAAGUGCGCCAAGGAGACCGACGCGUCUUACCCGCUCAUGACCCAAGCAGUGAUUUUCCAUUGCCUCAUGUAUCAUCGACCGUCGCCAGCCUCUGGUUUUAGAUGUGAACGUGCAUGUACCAGUACUUCAUAUUGCUAUAUUUUGAUUCUGACGAAAUAACAUCACGUGGUACAAUCAAGAAAGUGGAAGGGGCGCAUCCUAUCUAGCACCGCCCUAGCUUCCUCUCAGGCGGCGCACCUGGGUGCGCCCCAACCACUAGUUUGGGAAAAAACCUACUUGCUCUGUUCCAUUAUGUAAGACAUUUUUUUGGCACUGUAGAUGGGUAUCCUCCAAGACUCCCUCACCGAUGAUUGAUGUGAAAAGCGAGAACGCACAAUGGAAAGUUAGUUUAUUUGAA